CCUACGGGUGGCUGCAGUGGGGAAUAUUGGACAAUGGGCGAAAGCCUGAUCCAGCCAUGCCGCGUGUGUGAAGAAGGCCUUCGGGUUGUAAAGCACUUUCAGUGGGGAAGAAAGCCUUGGGGCUAAUACCCUCGAGGAAGGACAUCACCCACAGAAGAAGCACCGGCUAACUCCGUGCCAGCAGCCGCGGUAAUACGGAGGGUGCGAGCGUUAAUCGGAAUUACUGGGCGUAAAGCGCGCGUAGGCGGUCUGAUAAGCCGGUUGUGAAAGCCCCGGGCUCAACCUGGGAACGGCAUCCGGAACUGUCAGGCUAGAGUGCAGGAGAGGAAGGUAGAAUUCGCGGUGUAGCGGUGAAAUGCGUAGAGAUCGGGAGGAAUACCAGUGGCGAAGGCGGCCUUCUGGACUGACACUGACGCUGAGGUGCGAAAGCGUGGGUAGCAAACAGGAUUAGAUACCCUUGUAGUC
Molecule: ribosomal RNA, 465 nt
Filed under: Vreelandella stevensii
Lineage: Bacteria; Pseudomonadati; Pseudomonadota; Gammaproteobacteria; Oceanospirillales; Halomonadaceae
Description: partial 16S ribosomal RNA
Rfam family: Bacterial small subunit ribosomal RNA
Source: RNAcentral